Molecule: ribosomal RNA, 249 nt
Filed under: uncultured bacterium
Lineage: Bacteria
Description: partial 16S ribosomal RNA
Rfam family: Bacterial small subunit ribosomal RNA
Source: RNAcentral
AUACGGAGGGUGCAAGCGUUGUUCGGAAUUUAUUGGGCGUAAAGCGCGUGUAGGCGGUUUCUUAAGUCUGAUGUGAAAGCCCCGGGCUCAACCUGGGAAGUGCAUUGGAAACUGGGAGACUUGAGUACGGGAGAGGGUAGUGGAAUUCCUAGUGUAGGAGUGAAAUCCGUAGAUAUUAGGAGGAACACCGGUGGCGAAGGCGGCUACCUGGACCGAUACUGACGCUGAGACGACGAAAGCGUGGGGAGC